AAGGGAGUGGCAGAAUGGUGAUGUGACUGACUUGAAAUCAGUUUAAGGGGGUUCAAUUCCUCCCUCCCUCG
Molecule: transfer RNA, 71 nt
Filed under: Pempheris schwenkii (black-stripe sweeper)
Lineage: Eukaryota; Metazoa; Chordata; Actinopteri; Acropomatiformes; Pempheridae
Description: tRNA-Ser(UCN)
Rfam family: tRNA
About the family: Transfer RNA (tRNA) molecules are approximately 80 nucleotides in length. Their secondary structure includes four short double-helical elements and three loops (D, anti-codon, and T loops).
Source: RNAcentral